This 42-nucleotide ribosomal RNA is filed under the name Pythium sp. 824b. Its description in RNAcentral is "partial 18S ribosomal RNA". It matches the Rfam family "Eukaryotic small subunit ribosomal RNA", at positions 1790 to 1831 of the family's 1831-position model. The record is from RNAcentral. Lineage: Eukaryota; Oomycota; Peronosporomycetes; Pythiales; Pythiaceae.
CGUAACAAGGUUUCCGUAGGUGANCCUGCGGAAGGAUCAUUA